GGCCCGCCAUGUUCUUCUCCGCGGCGCUCCGGGCCCGGGCGGCUGGCCUCACCGCCCACUGGAUUCCGAAGAGGCUCAAUCUGUAAAUCCUUCUAGUGUUGAUGAAAAUAUUGACUCUGAAACAGAGAAAGACUCUCUCAUCUGUGAAAGUAAACAGAUACUUCCCAGUAAAACACCUCUUCCAUCUGCCCUUGAUGA
Homo sapiens (human) is the source of this 198-nucleotide long non-coding RNA. NCBI's taxonomy places the organism in Eukaryota, Metazoa, Chordata, Mammalia, Primates, Hominidae. The record is from Ensembl.